RNAcentral lists this transfer RNA (73 nucleotides) under Kofleriaceae bacterium. RNAcentral's name for it is "tRNA-Leu". It matches the Rfam family "tRNA". From Rfam's summary of the family: Transfer RNA (tRNA) molecules are approximately 80 nucleotides in length. Their secondary structure includes four short double-helical elements and three loops (D, anti-codon, and T loops). Lineage: Bacteria; Pseudomonadati; Myxococcota; Haliangiales; Kofleriaceae. The record is from RNAcentral.
GCCUUCGUCGACCAACGGCAGAGUCAGCGGUCUCAAACACCGUCACGUGCGGGUUCGAAUCCCGCCGAAGGCA